GAGUUUGAUUAUGGCUCAGGAUGAACGCUGGCGGCGUGCCUAAUACAUGCAAGUCGAGCGAACAGACGAGGAGCUUGCUCCUCUGACGUUAGCGGCGGACGGGUGAGUAACACGUGGAUAACCUACCUAUAAGACUGGGAUAACUUCGGGAAACCGGAGCUAAUACCGGAUAAUAUAUUGAACCGCAUGGUUCAAUAGUGAAAGACGGUUUUGCUGUCACUUAUAGAUGGAUCCGCGCCGCAUUAGCUAGUUGGUAAGGUAACGGCUUACCAAGGCAACGAUGCGUAGCCGACCUGAGAGGGUGAUCGGCCACACUGGAACUGAGACACGGUCCAGACUCCUACGGGAGGCAGCAGUAGGGAAUCUUCCGCAAUGGGCGAAAGCCUGACGGAGCAACGCCGCGUGAGUGAUGAAGGUCUUCGGAUCGUAAAACUCCGUUAUUAGGGAAGAACAAAUGUGUAAGUAACUAUGCACGUCUUGACGGUACCUAAUCAGAAAGCCACGGCUAACUACGUGCCAGCAGCCGCGGUAAUACGUAGGUGGCAAGCGUUAUCCGGAAUUAUUGGGCGUAAAGCGCGCGUAGGCGGUUUUUUAAGUCUGAUGUGAAAGCCCACGGCUCAACCGUGGAGGGUCAUUGGAAACUGGAAAACUUGAGUGCAGAAGAGGAAAGUGGAAUUCCAUGUGUAGCGGUGAAAUGCGCAGAGAUAUGGAGGAACACCAGUGGCGAAGGCGACUUUCUGGUCUGUAACUGACGCUGAUGUGCGAAAGCGUGGGGAUCAAACAGGAUUAGAUACCCUGGUAGUCCACGCCGUAAACGAUGAGUGCUAAGUGUUAGGGGGUUUCCGCCCCUUAGUGCUGCAGCUAACGCAUUAAGCACUCCGCCUGGGGAGUACGACCGCAAGGUUGAAACUCAAAGGAAUUGACGGGGAC
This 930-nucleotide ribosomal RNA is filed under the name uncultured Gram-positive bacterium. RNAcentral's name for it is "bacterial SSU rRNA". It matches the Rfam family "Bacterial small subunit ribosomal RNA", at positions 9 to 920 of the family's 1533-position model. The record is from RNAcentral.